Molecule: ribosomal RNA, 440 nt
Filed under: uncultured bacterium
Lineage: Bacteria
Description: partial 16S ribosomal RNA
Rfam family: Bacterial small subunit ribosomal RNA
Source: RNAcentral
CCUACGAGUGGCAGCAGUAGGGAAUAUUGCUCAAUGGGGGAAACCCUGAAGCAGCAACGCCGCGUGGAGGAUGAAGGUUUUCGGAUUGUAAACUCCUUUUGUUAGAGAAGAUAAUGACGGUAUCUAACGAAUAAGCACCGGCUAACUCAGUGCCAGCAGCCGCGGUAAGACGGAGGGUGCAAGCGUUACUCGGAAUCACUGGGCGUAAAGAGCGCGUAGGCGGGAUAGCAAGUCAGAUGUGAAAUCCUAUGGCUUAACCAUAGAACUGCAUUUGAAACUGUUAUUCUAGAGUAUGGGAGAGGUAGGGGGAAUUCUUGGUGUAGGGGUAAAAUCCGUAGAUAUCAAGAGGAAUACUCAUUGCGAAGGCGAACUGCUAGAACAUAACUGACGCUGAUGCGCGAAAGCGUGGGGAGCAAACAGGAUUAGAUACCCUGGUAGUC